AUACGGAGGACGCGAGCGUUAUCCGGAUUCAUUGGGUUUAAAGGGUGCGCAGGCGGCCGUGCAAGUCAGCGGUGAAAGCCCGGGGCUCAACCCCGGAAGUGCCGUUGAUACUGCAUGGCUGGAAUGCGGUCGAGGCGGGCGGAACGGGGCGUGUAGCGGGGAAAUGCGUAGAUAUGCCACAGAACGCCGAUAGCGGAGGCAGCUCGCCAGGCCUGCAUUGACGCUCGGGCACGAAAGCGUGGGGAUCGAACAGGAUUAGAUACCCUGGUAGUCCACGCCGUAAACGAUGGGCGCUCGUCGUCAGCGGCAGACAGUCGGCGGCCAAGCGAAAGCGAUAAGCGCCCCACCUGGGGAGUACGGUCGCAAGGCUGAAACUCAAAGGAAUUGGCGGGG
RNAcentral lists this ribosomal RNA (393 nucleotides) under uncultured bacterium. RNAcentral describes it as "partial 16S ribosomal RNA". It matches the Rfam family "Bacterial small subunit ribosomal RNA", at positions 523 to 918 of the family's 1533-position model. The record is from RNAcentral.